CUUGCCAAGAUAGCGAUCUGCUCUUAUAUUAUAGAUAUUAUAAGACGAUAUUAGAAAAAAGAACCCCUCUCUCUUUCCUUUAUGUGCGCUCUCUCUUCAGUCAUGUGCUUAAAUAAUUAGGAGACGAAGGGAUUUGCAACUUUGGUGAUGCUUUGUUUUUAUGGAAGAUGAUGAAGAAGGUGGAAGGAUUGCGGAUUUGGUGCGGCGUCGGUUUACAUAAUCGAAGCUUUCUCUACACGUUGAUGGGAUACUGGAUUCGUUUCUGCACAACACAUUGAGACUGGUCAAAAGAGUUAAAUUGGGGAAGAACUUUUAGCAUCUACCCAUCAAAGACCAUUGU
This 340-nucleotide long non-coding RNA is filed under the name Helianthus annuus (common sunflower). Its description in RNAcentral is "hypothetical non coding rna". The record is from RNAcentral. Lineage: Eukaryota; Viridiplantae; Streptophyta; Magnoliopsida; Asterales; Asteraceae.